This 740-nucleotide long non-coding RNA is filed under the name Gopherus agassizii (Agassiz's desert tortoise). RNAcentral describes it as "lncRNA (ENSGAGG00000012739.1)". Lineage: Eukaryota; Metazoa; Chordata; Testudines; Testudinidae. The record is from RNAcentral.
UCACUUUUAGAAGUUGUGACACAACAUUACUGGUGACUAUUUGAUUCUGAUUAGGAUUCCAGUUCCGAGAUAUUUCACCUCUGCGGGACAAACCUCUUUGGAAUGACCCACGCAACAAAUCAGUUGCUUGGACUAAGUCUCUCCGGAGAUAUAGGGUAACCAUGAAUCACAGGCCUGUUGAAUCUGUGCUGAGCAGAAAAGCACCUUUUGCAGCUCGAACCUUAAGUGCUGGCUUGAGUGGUCAUAGGUAUAGAAAUGGUUGUGUUGAUGUGUUGCCACAAUAUAGUUCAAUGAAUGAUCCCCACUUGUUUGACUACUAUGCCAGGAAGUUUGGACUGCGGGGGACUACCAGGUGUCUUCCAGUUUCUGAUCAAAUGAAGAGACAUCACCAAAGUGCACCCCACUACAGGUACAAAAGUGCUAGUACCGGAUCCAGUUCUGCAGUGCACAGCAACGUGUUAUACAAAGUCACUGUGAAGACUGGAGAUAAGAGAGGGGCAGGAACUGAUGCCAGGGUAUUUCUUAAGAUGAAGGGCUCUAAAGGAAAACUUAGCAAGACACGUUUAUAUAAGAAAACUGGAUCUAAUGUAUCUCAACAAACAGCUGUGUUUAAAGUCUCCAAAGGGUCAAUUAAUACCUUUAAAAUUCAUGGUCCAGAAAUUGGAGAAAUCCAAAACAUCACCCUGGAGGUAACCAUUUUUUGUGACUUGAAAUUAGUGUAAUUUGCUAAGAGGGGGAAA